This 231-nucleotide unclassified non-coding RNA is filed under the name Hevea brasiliensis (rubber tree). The record is from RNAcentral. Lineage: Eukaryota; Viridiplantae; Streptophyta; Magnoliopsida; Malpighiales; Euphorbiaceae.
GCUCAAUGCCGGGAAGCAAGUCCAUGGUCUCUUCAUCACUUUGGUGGAUUCAUGUAAAACUGUUCAUUUAUUGGAAGAGAGCAGAGGGAUUAUUGGAAGUGCACUCAUAGACAUGUACAGCAAGUGCAGUGAUAUUGGUAAAGCGCAGAAAGUUUUUGAAAGUUGGCUACCUGAACGAGAUGUUCCACUGUGGAAUUCUUUGUUGUCUGGUUAUAUAAAUAAUGGACUCAU